Molecule: ribosomal RNA, 416 nt
Filed under: uncultured bacterium
Lineage: Bacteria
Description: partial 16S ribosomal RNA
Rfam family: Bacterial small subunit ribosomal RNA
Source: RNAcentral
UGGGGAAUAUUGCACAAUGGGCGCAAGCCUGAUGCAGCCAUGCCGCGUGUAUGAAGAAGGCCUUCGGGUUGUAAAGUACUUUCAGCGAGGAGGAAGGCAUUAAGGUUAAUAACCUUAGUGAUUGACGUUACUCGCAGAAGAAGCACCGGCUAACUCCGUGCCAGCAGCCGCGGUAAUACGGAGGGUGCAAGCGUUAAUCGGAAUUACUGGGCGUAAAGCGCACGCAGGCGGUCUGUUAAGUCAGAUGUGAAAUCCCCGGGCUCAACCUGGGAACUGCAUUUGAAACUGGCAGGCUUGAGUCUUGUAGAGGGGGGUAGAAUUCCAGGUGUAGCGGUGAAAUGCGUAGAGAUCUGGAGGAAUACCGGUGGCGAAGGCGGCCCCCUGGACAAAGACUGACGCUCAGGUGCGAAAGCGUG